AUGCAUAUAGUCUAUGGAAUAUCUAUGCUGAAGGUUGCAUUUAAUUUUAAAUUAAGCCUGUUAAGGAUGACAACUGAAUCAUUGUGGGUAGGGGGGCUUUUGUUUAUAGUUCUUACCUUCUGGACAGGACUUCACAAAACAAACGAUAUACUUUCAGUGGUAGUCCAAGAGACUAUUUCAGCUCGGUUCCAAGAAACAAAAGUCCAUUCCAGGAGGCAAUCGUGUUUGUAG
Molecule: long non-coding RNA, 231 nt
Filed under: Crocodylus porosus (Australian saltwater crocodile)
Lineage: Eukaryota; Metazoa; Chordata; Crocodylia; Crocodylidae
Description: lncRNA (ENSCPRG00005000533.1)
Source: RNAcentral